Molecule: long non-coding RNA, 211 nt
Filed under: Pan troglodytes (chimpanzee)
Lineage: Eukaryota; Metazoa; Chordata; Mammalia; Primates; Hominidae
Description: long non-coding RNA NONPTRT003208
Source: RNAcentral
GGAAGGCACCAUUUCCAUCAUAUUCUUCUGGAGAGAACUUAGUCUCAUCUUCUUCACAGAAGAUGGGGAAAGGUGGCCCAGCUGGUCAGCCCUGUGCCUGGCUGCAUUUCUGUUACUAUGGAAGGAGGGAAAAAGGAAAGCCAGCAGUGCAUGUCACGCUUACAUAAGUAUUUAGCUGUGUAAAUUGAAGUGUUGAGAGCCAAGACUUCAC